GCGAAAAAAAAAAGAAACCUGCACAAGUACUUAUCUACACGACUAUCCAAAAGACAAAAGGAAGUCAAAGAGGACAUUGAGGCUAUAAAGAAGUGCACGCAAAGGUCUGAUGAGGAACUGCAACAGUGGGUCAUUGAUGUGACACAGUGGGCAGUUGACACACCAGAUGACCUCAGAACAGAUGAUCCAGUGGCGUUGCAACAUCUGAUUGAAGGCCUAUUCUUGGGCAUCCAGCAGAAAAAGAGGAAUCUAUAUCGAGUAACCGACCGUAACAAACAGCGACACAAGAUCCGAAGCUGGAUUAGAGAGGAUAAGAAAAAGCUGUUUAAUGCCAUAUCCCAAUACAAUGAUCUUCCAACCACCACAGAAUCUGUAGAUUCAGUCGAAGACCUUCUGGCAACAGAAAGCCCUAUCUGGCCUUGGGAUUCUGAACCUGACACUUCCUUAGGCAUGAAGAAGAAGGUUUUUGACAAGGUGAUGCAGCUGGAGAGACUGAUUGAGGAAGAGGCUAUAAUUUUAGAGGAAAUGAAACAACAUUGGACUCAUCUUACAAGAACCUGCAGGGCCUUGAAGGACCAGGCUAAUGUACUAUCAGAUGACCUGGCCACACAGAACUACCCUUCAGGACUGUCUGGUCAAGCUUACCAUGGCCUGCACAGUGCUGUCCUCCAAAAAUGUGAGGAGCUCAAAACAGACCUGGUACCUGUGAAAGAAACCUACUCCCAAAUAGUGGUAAAUGGGAAUGGUGGAACUGUUGUUGAAGAAGAUGAAGACCCAUACGAGCAUGUCUCCACAGAUGCCUCUACAGAUGAUGAAUUAUAGAUUCUCUCUUCUCCACUGCACAAACUGGUCUCCUGACUCUGAGUAGCUCAAGUUAGCUCUCCCCAUUGUAAAUAAUAAAAACUUGAACCUGAAUUUUCUUUCA
This is a long non-coding RNA of Cyprinus carpio (common carp), 925 nucleotides long. Ensembl lists it as uncharacterized. Lineage: Eukaryota; Metazoa; Chordata; Actinopteri; Cypriniformes; Cyprinidae. The record is from Ensembl.